UGUAAGCGUAUAUUAAAGUUGUUGCAGUUAAAAAGCUCGUAGUUGGAUUUCUGGUGGGAGCGAUCGGUCUGGCGCUUAGCGCGAGUACUUGCAUCGUCUCCGGCCAUCCUUGGGGAGAGUCUGUCUGGCAUUAGGUUGUCGGGCAGAGGAUCCUCAUCGUUUACUGUGAAAAAAUUAGAGUGUUCAAAGCAGGCUUAUGCCGUUGAAUAUAUUAGCAUGGAAUAAUAAGAUAGGACUUUGGUACUAUUUUGUUGGUUUGCGCACCAAAGUAAUGAUUAAUAGGGACAGUUGGGGGUAUUCGUAUUCCGUUGUCAGAGGUGAAAUUCUUGGAUUUACGGAAGACGAACUACUGCGAAAGCAUUUACCAAGGAUGUUUUCAUUAA
This 383-nucleotide ribosomal RNA is filed under the name uncultured eukaryote. RNAcentral's name for it is "partial 18S ribosomal RNA". It matches the Rfam family "Eukaryotic small subunit ribosomal RNA", at positions 592 to 976 of the family's 1831-position model. The record is from RNAcentral.